RNAcentral lists this ribosomal RNA (468 nucleotides) under uncultured bacterium. RNAcentral's name for it is "partial 16S ribosomal RNA". It matches the Rfam family "Bacterial small subunit ribosomal RNA", at positions 28 to 507 of the family's 1533-position model. The record is from RNAcentral.
GACGAACGCUGGCGGCGUGCUUAACACAUGCAAGUCGAACGGAAAGGCCCUGAUUUUGUGGGGUGCUCGAGUGGCGAACGGGUGAGUAACACGUGAGUAACCCGCCCCUGACUUUGGGAUAAAUUCAGGGAACUGGGGCUAAUAUAGGAUAGGAGCUCCUGCAGCAUGGUGGGGGAUGGAAAGUUUCGGCGGUUGGGGAUGGACUCGCGGCUUAUCCGCUUGUUGGUGGGGUAGUGGCUUACCAAGCGUUUGACGGGUAGCCGGCCUGAGAGGGUGACCGGCCACAUUGGGACUGAGAUACGGCCCAGAAUCCUACGUGAGGCAGCAGUGGGGAAUAUUGCACAAUGGGCGGAAGCCUGAUGCAGCGACCCCGCGUGCGGGAUGACGGCCUUCGGGUGGUAAACCGCUUUCGCCGGUGACGAAGCGUUAGUGACGGUAAUUGGUAAAGAAGCACCGGCUAACUACGUG